GACGAACGCUGGCGGCGUGCUUAACACAUGCAAGUCGAGCGGUAAGGCCCUUUCGGGGGUACACGAGCGGCGAACGGGUGAGUAACACGUGGGUGACCUGCCCUCAGCUCUGGGAUAAGCCUGGGAAACCGGGUCUAAUACUGGAUAUGACUCCAUGACGCAUGUUGUGGGGUGGAAAGCCUUGUGCGGCUGAGGAUGGGCCCGCGGCCUAUCAGCUUGUUGGUGGGGUGAUGGCCUACCAAGGCGACGACGGGUAGCCGGCCUGAGAGGGCGACCGGCCACACUGGGACUGAGACACGGCCCAGACUCCUACGGGAGGCAGCAGUGGGGAAUCUUGCGCAAUGGGCGAAAGCCUGACGCAGCGACGCCGCGUGAGGGAUGACGGCCCGUCGGUA
Molecule: ribosomal RNA, 395 nt
Filed under: uncultured bacterium
Lineage: Bacteria
Description: bacterial SSU rRNA
Rfam family: Bacterial small subunit ribosomal RNA
Source: RNAcentral